AUUUUUAUAGUUUAACUUAAAACGCCAGCAUGUGGCUCUGGAAAUGUGGUAAACCACUUAAAAUA
Molecule: transfer RNA, 65 nt
Filed under: Neotrypaea japonica (Japanese ghost shrimp)
Lineage: Eukaryota; Metazoa; Arthropoda; Malacostraca; Decapoda; Callianassidae
Description: tRNA-His
Rfam family: tRNA
About the family: Transfer RNA (tRNA) molecules are approximately 80 nucleotides in length. Their secondary structure includes four short double-helical elements and three loops (D, anti-codon, and T loops). Further hydrogen bonds mediate the characteristic L-shaped molecular structure. tRNAs have two regions of fundamental functional importance: the anti-codon, which is responsible for specific mRNA codon recognition, and the 3' end, to which the tRNAs corresponding amino acid is attached (by aminoacyl-tRNA synthetases). tRNAs cope with the degeneracy of the genetic code in two manners: having more than one tRNA (with a specific anti-codon) for a particular amino acid; and 'wobble' base-pairing, i.e. permitting non-standard base-pairing at the 3rd anti-codon position.
Source: RNAcentral